GAAAAGUUAGUUUAAUUAAUAUAAAACAUUAACUUGUCAAGUUAAAAAUAUACUUUAUUAUACUUUUCU
RNAcentral lists this transfer RNA (69 nucleotides) under Nabicula flavomarginata. RNAcentral's name for it is "tRNA-Asp". It matches the Rfam family "tRNA". From Rfam's summary of the family: Transfer RNA (tRNA) molecules are approximately 80 nucleotides in length. The record is from RNAcentral. Lineage: Eukaryota; Metazoa; Arthropoda; Insecta; Hemiptera; Nabidae.